RNAcentral lists this ribosomal RNA (253 nucleotides) under uncultured bacterium. Its description in RNAcentral is "partial 16S ribosomal RNA". It matches the Rfam family "Bacterial small subunit ribosomal RNA", at positions 524 to 776 of the family's 1533-position model. The record is from RNAcentral.
UACGUAGGGUGCGAGCGUUAAUCGGAAUUACUGGGCGUAAAGCGUGCGUAGGCGGUUCGUUAAGUGCGUCGUGAAAGCCCCGGGCUCAACCUGGGAAUGGCGAUGGAAACUGGCGGGCUGGAGUAUGGCAGAGGGGGGUGGAAUUCCGCGUGUAGCAGUGAAAUGCGUAGAGAUGUGGAGGAACACCGAUGGCGAAGGCAGCCCCCUGGGUCAAGAUUGACGCUCAUGCACGAAAGCGUGGGGAGCAAACAGG